RNAcentral lists this long non-coding RNA (962 nucleotides) under Eucalyptus grandis. RNAcentral describes it as "long non-coding RNA (EGRA_LNC006410)". Lineage: Eukaryota; Viridiplantae; Streptophyta; Magnoliopsida; Myrtales; Myrtaceae. The record is from RNAcentral.
GAGGUAAGGAUCACUCUAGAAUGACAGAAAUGAAUAUGAAAAGCAGCAGGAAAAGAAAGGAUGGUAUGUGUCUGUCAAUCUGGGCUACUUAGAAUGGGCCAGCUGAGAUUGUGGGUUUAUAGACAACCUACGAUGAGUAGGAUAAAAAGUGUUAAUGUUAUGAGAUUGCUUCUAUGCAAUGAUCUAUAGUAGUCUAAUGGAUUAGGAUCUACAGCACAAUGACGGAAAUGAAUAUGAAAAGCAGCAGGAAAAGAAAGGAUGGUAUGUGUCUGUCAAUCUGGGCUACUUAGAAUGGGCCAGCUGAGAUUGUGGGUUUAUAGACAACCUACGAUGAGUAGGAUAAAAAGUGUUAAUGUUAUGAGAUUGCUUCUAUGCAAUGAUCUACAGUAGUCUAAUGGAUUAGGAUCUAACCAAAAUAAUCGAAUUAAUGAAAAAUCAUUCACCAUGCUAAAAAAGGCAUUGAAGAUGUUUUUCUUCACGUAGUGUAAUAUAACAAUUAUAUUAGCAUUAGCAGUAAACAUUUUAUGCUAGAUUUUUCCCAUACACGUAAAUGUAACAAACAUAACCAAACAAAUAUACUUAGCAAAGAUUGAUCUAUCUCCUGUUGGUAUCAAAGUGUAUCCCUUCUUGAAAAGACAAAAAGCACCACAAAUUAAAACACACUAUUUUGCUUGUAAUUGGCACUUAUUUUAAUAUUUUAGAAAGAGUGGAUGGACUCCUCUUUUCUAGUGAGCUCGGUCAUUGAACAUGGCAGCCUUCCCAAGGAGCUCUUUUUGUUCAUGAGGAUGGCUGUCUUCCUAUUUUUGCGGGAGCUUAUUUCUCCUAUAUAGAGAGCAUACGUUCCCAGAAGAUAUUGAGCCUUUGCUCACAUUUCUUGUUUUUCAGCUAACCUAUUUUUUGCUCAAUUUCGUGAGGUUUGUUCGCAUUGUCCAUAUUUACUCAAUUUCUUUUAGAUUUCCAAG